GAUUAAGUUAUUAAGGGCGCACGGUGGAUGCCUUGGCACUAGAAGCCGAUGAAGGACGUUACUAACGACGAUAUGCUUUGGGGAGCUGUAAGUAAGCUUUGAUCCAGAGAUUUCCGAAUGGGGAAACCCAGCAUGAGUUAUGUCAUGUUAUCGAUAUGUGAAUACAUAGCAUAUCAGAAGGCACACCCGGAGAACUGAAACAUCUUAGUACCCGGAGGAAGAGAAAGAAAAUUCGAUUCCCUUAGUAGCGGCGAGCGAAACGGGAAGAGCCCAAACCAAAAAGCUUGCUUGUUGGGGUUGUAGGACACUCUAUACGGAGUUACAAAGGACGACAUUAGACGAAUCAUCUGGAAAGAUGAAUCAAAGAAGGUAAUAAUCCUGUAGUCGAAAAUGUUGUCUCUCUUGAGUGGAUCCUGAGUACGACGGAGCACGUGAAAUUCCGUCGGAAUCUGGGAGGACCAUCUCCUAAGGCUAAAUACUCUCUAGUGACCGAUAGUGAACCAGUACCGUGAGGGAAAGGUGAAAAGCACCCCGGAAGGGGAGUGAAAUAGAACCUGAAACCGUGUGCUUACAAGUAGUCAGAGCCCGUUAAUGGGUGAUGGCGUGCCUUUUGUAGAAUGAACCGGCGAGUUACGAUUUGAUGCAAGGUUAAGCAGUAAAUGUGGAGCCGUAGCGAAAGCGAGUCUGAAUAGGGCGUUUAGUAUUUGGUCGUAGACCCGAAACCAGGUGAUCUACCCUUGGUCAGGUUGAAGUUCAGGUAACACUGAAUGGAGGACCGAACCGACUUACGUUGAAAAGUGAGCGGAUGAACUGAGGGUAGCGGAGAAAUUCCAAUCGAACCUGGAGAUAGCUGGUUCUCUCCGAAAUAGCUUUAGGGCUAGCCUCAAGUGAUGAUUAUUGGAGGUAGAGCACUGUUUGGACGAGGGGCCCCUCUCGGGUUACCGAAUUCAGACAAACUCCGAAUGCCAAUUAAUUUAACUUGGGAGUCAGAACAUGGGUGAUAAGGUCCGUGUUCGAAAGGGAAACAGCCCAGACCACCAGCUAAGGUCCCAAAAUAUAUGUUAAGUGGAAAAGGAUGUGGCGUUGCCCAGACAACUAGGAUGUUGGCUUAGAAGCAGCCAUCAUUUAAAGAGUGCGUAAUAGCUCACUAGUCGAGUGACACUGCGCCGAAAAUGUACCGGGGCUAAACAUAUUACCGAAGCUGUGGAUUGUCCUUUGGACAAUGGUAGGAGAGCGUUCUAAGGGCGUUGAAGCAUGAUCGUAAGGACAUGUGGAGCGCUUAGAAGUGAGAAUGCCGGUGUGAGUAGCGAAAGACGGGUGAGAAUCCCGUCCACCGAUUGACUAAGGUUUCCAGAGGAAGGCUCGUCCGCUCUGGGUUAGUCGGGUCCUAAGCUGAGGCCGACAGGCGUAGGCGAUGGAUAACAGGUUGAUAUUCCUGUACCACCUAUAAUCGUUUUAAUCGAUGGGGGGACGCAGUAGGAUAGGCGAAGCGUGCGA
RNAcentral lists this ribosomal RNA (1497 nucleotides) under Staphylococcus aureus. RNAcentral describes it as "partial 23S ribosomal RNA". It matches the Rfam family "Bacterial large subunit ribosomal RNA", at positions 1 to 1498 of the family's 2925-position model. Lineage: Bacteria; Bacillati; Bacillota; Bacilli; Caryophanales; Staphylococcaceae. The record is from RNAcentral.